CAGUUCACCAUUCGAGGAUCAUACAUAGUAAAGAUAAAUUCUGUGUUUCAGCGAGCAAAAUUCUAGAAAGAUAUCUUAGAAGAAAAACAACUUGAAGAAACAAUGGGAAGAGAUACAGAUAGAUUAAGAAUAAUUAGUAUGAAUGCUUCUGGUAGGAAAGGCAAACAGUAUCAAAACUAUCGACAGUCUUACCUGAACGAAAUAAUCGCACACGAUGAGCCCGAUAUUUUAUUUUUGCCAAGGGACAACCCUGAUAUGUCAUCAUCAGUGUUAACUGAUUAUCGUCAAGCACAAGUCGCUCAUAAUCACGAACUUGUACUUUUGUACGAUAAGAAGAGAUUGUAAUUGAAAACCCCAAACUGGUUCGAUCUAAUACACCUUAGUUGUUCCUGGUAUACAGCAGGGCAAACUAAUGUAUCCCUUAGUCGAUAUCCUGGCUCCUAAACCGACUCAACAUAUCGUCAAGCAGUUCCAUUGUAUCAUUUUCAAUUGGGAGCUUUCUCAAACAACAUCACAGGAACGCUCUCAGUUUGCGUAUCGUUACCUAUGGUUGACUCAAUAUCUUGGGUGAAUUUCUGGAGUGGAAAUCCUGAUAGGAGGUGAUUUUAAUUUACCAAUUCAACAAAUACAAAACCGCCUAAAUGAACAUAAUACACUUGUCCGAAAGGAAUUGGAAGAUAUCAAACCAUUUUUCAGGAAAAUGGGAUACAUGGAUGAAAUGACGGAUAAUAAUCAUAGAUCAGAAUGUCGGCUACGACAACUUAAACUCCACAAGUGUAGGUCUGCAUCAAGAUGUAACCAGGAAACCGACUACUUUGUUGCAUCAGAGGAAAUGCAAUUAUGUAAUACUGAAAUGAUGACGGCUUCAACCCUUCCAGGAAGAUGUACAACUCUGACGGUAACCAGGCCAGCUGUACAGAAUUACUGUCCUUUGCCAACGAGGACAGAAAAGUGUAUUCCAGCAAGGCCACCAAGACACAACGGUGGUUAAAAAUAAUUCUACAUAGCUUUUGGUAUUUUUUGUAUCCAAGUUAUAUCGUUAUAUGGCGUGAAUAUUUUUUAAUGGGUUUCUUAACAUAAUAUAUUCAAAAAAUUGGGGGAC
Mytilus californianus (California mussel) is the source of this 1102-nucleotide long non-coding RNA. RefSeq lists it as uncharacterized. The transcript is spliced from 3 exons. Lineage: Eukaryota; Metazoa; Mollusca; Bivalvia; Mytilida; Mytilidae. The record is from RefSeq and is a predicted model, not a curated record.